CGAAGUUCUAAGACCCCCCACAUGUUGUGAAUUUGGUUGGAGUAAAGAUCUAAGGGUCCAUACUGGGCUAUAAAAAUAGUGUAGUACUUGAGCAGUACUGUAAAAAUGGCAAUUAUAAAUAAUUAUGAGUGUUGAGGAGGUAAUAUGAACACUCAAGUUCAAAGCAGUAAAAUAAAAAUUAAAAAAAAAAGACAGACUUAGGUAAGCCAUCUAUCAACUCGGAGAAUGCUGAUGCUUUGUUGAAAGAGAGCUUUGUCUUACAAAUUAGGCACUUAUAAAACAACAGGCUAUUGGGUUUGGAGUGAAUUCUCAGAAACAUCACUACUGACAUAACUCCAUAAAGAAUUCAUAAUUUCUACUCACAUGUUUUACCCACAUCAAUAACAGAAUCUCAGGAAAACCAAAGUGGAGUUUACAAUGUUCAUUUUGACACUGUGCAUUAGACUUCUCGACUUCAAGCUACAAAAACCAGCACAGAACCUGGAAAAAUUUUACCUCCUGGCAUUUUUGUUUCUCUACCCUGAUGCUUGUUGUUGAGUUUUACCCAUGCUUUGACCAUCAGCAAAUUGAAGA
RNAcentral lists this long non-coding RNA (573 nucleotides) under Homo sapiens (human). Its description in RNAcentral is "HSALNT0325589". The record is from RNAcentral. Lineage: Eukaryota; Metazoa; Chordata; Mammalia; Primates; Hominidae.